This 85-nucleotide transfer RNA is filed under the name Hippoglossus stenolepis (Pacific halibut). RNAcentral describes it as "tRNA-Leu". It matches the Rfam family "tRNA". From Rfam's summary of the family: Transfer RNA (tRNA) molecules are approximately 80 nucleotides in length. Their secondary structure includes four short double-helical elements and three loops (D, anti-codon, and T loops). The record is from RNAcentral. Lineage: Eukaryota; Metazoa; Chordata; Actinopteri; Pleuronectiformes; Pleuronectidae.
GUCAGAAUGGCCGAGCGGUCUAAGGCGCGCUGCGUUCAGGUCGCAGUCUCCAUUGGAGGCGUGGGUUCAAAUCCCACUUCUGACA